GCCAAUGUGUUGUAGUGGUUUGAAUGUUGGACUACGACUCUGGAGACCUGGGUUCAAAUCCCCACUCAAGCA
RNAcentral lists this transfer RNA (72 nucleotides) under Phrynosoma platyrhinos (Desert horned lizard). Its description in RNAcentral is "tRNA-OTHER". Lineage: Eukaryota; Metazoa; Chordata; Lepidosauria; Squamata; Phrynosomatidae. The record is from RNAcentral.